UAAAAUCUGAAAAUAUUAUUAGAAACCUAAAUACCCAAAAUUGAAUAAUAAAAAUUAAAUAAAAGAAAAAAGAAAAAGAUUUCCAUUCCUAAAAUUUGAAAAUAUUAUCAGCCCUAACACUUCUCUCUCUAGUUCGCCUCCCACCAAAUCUCAAUUUGUCGCGCCUUCCCCGAGUCCGCCGCGCCCCCGAUCUACCGCGCCUUCAUCCAGCUCCCCCAGUCCAUCGCGCCCUCGGUCUGCCUCCGUCUGCCUCCGUCGCGCCCUCGUUCUUGCUCCGGCGUGUUUUAUUGGCCGACUAUGCGGCGGCGGCGGGCUAGGGUUUUGAAACCCUUGCUGUGAUGAAGAGAAGAAACGGGUCAGAAAGAUGGGCUAGGAUUUUCCAGACUCCAGUCUUCGCCGCGUCUCCACGAUCUGCCGCACCGCUUCCUUUUCAGACCGCCGCGUCUCAAUUUUCUCCUUUUAGAUUUAGUUUCUUCGUCGAGCUUGCGGUCUCGUUUGAGUAAUUGGCGUAUUGUUUUUGUUGUUGUAAUUUCUUCAUGUUGAUUGUAGAUUGGCGCCACCAGCUGCAGCACGAUCCGGUCUCGCCGCCCGCCUCCGCCUCCAGUUCACCAACAUACAGGCCGCCGCUCUGUGGGGCGGCGCCGCCGGCACCGCCGCUAUCUACCUUGUUCAGGUACCUAUAUCUGCCUUUCCCCCUUUUUUUUGUGGUUUACGAUCUGCGGCUGGUGCCUCCCUUCCCUUGCUGUAUCCUCCGACUCCCAGGCCUCUCCUUCCUCGCGCUCGCGCCUCUGACAGAGCUAGGGCAGAAAACUCCAGCGCGCGGCAAUAUCGAUCAGCCCUCCCCUCCUCGCUAUAUCCUCUAACUUCUGCCCUUCCCUCCCUCGUGGAAGCCCUCACUACAUUCCAACAGUUGUUAAUUUUAGUAUUAGCUGGUUCAAACGCCUCAAGGGCUCUGCUAGAGUAGCUGGUGAUGACGAUGAGGAUGGCUUCGAUGACCUUUACAAUGAGUUUGCUUUCAGCAUUCAACUUUUUUCAUACAUAUCCAUGUUUGCAUGUGCAGCGACAUUUUGAGCAUACUCCUCCUCCACUUCCAUGGACUGAUUCAAGCCUUGUAGGUACUGUUCCAGCUUGCUCCUCUGCACUUUGUUUAAUAGCAUGGAAGAAGCGGUUGGAGAGAUGGAAAUCGAGGCAACUAUAUUAUCCCUUAUGUUUCAAGUGUAUAUACAAGAUAAUAGCUUCGGAUUUCCAUAAACACAAUGGGAGAAUAAGCUUUUGGUAUAUAUAUAUAUAUCUUAUUUUGCUUUAUAAAAUUUGAAGUGAGUUAUGAAGAAAAGUCAAAUAGUUUGAUUGAUCCGAAAAUAUAGGGGAAAAUGUUGUGAUAGAACUAGACACGUGUGUUAUGAUCAAUAAUUCCUAUGACAUAAUUUUAUGUUACAUUUGCUACUCUUUGCAGUUGAAUUGAAUGCUUUUCUCAUGGAUUAAUAACCAUUUCCUUUUCCUAUUGGAUCAACCAUUGGAUGCCUUAAAAUUUGAAAAUGUAAUACUUAUCUGAUCUCAUACAAGUCAAACUAAGUUUCAGGUGCAUCUGCAAUUGAUUUAUUUUACUAGAAGAUUGAUUUAUUAAUGGAAAAUAUAUCUUAACCUUUUGUUUGGUUUGUACUAUUCUCCUGAUCAGAUACCCCAUAAAUUCAUGUAAAUCUGCUAAAUAUUUGAAAUUCUUAAUCAAAACUAGCAGCUAUCUUGUUCCCAAAUUAGAACACGUCUUGAUAAAGCUUUUCUCAGUUUCCGCAAAAGAUGCUUCUAAUCAUCUUGAAAUGCCAGUUGUUUGGCAAAGUAUUAUACCAAGUACAGUCAUUCAAUGAUACAUUUUUUAAGAGUUCAAAAUCACAACUCUAGUAUGUGACAACUUUUAAAUAAAGUUUAUUACGCAAUACCUCAGAAGCAAGCAAUGGCCGAGAAUUCAUAUCUCCGUAACGGAAUCCAUAUUUUUCCAAAAAAUUCCAGCAUCCGUGUUUAGGUCUUGAUUUCGAAGGGAGUUUCAGCUCUAAAUAGUAAGCCCCAUCACUAGUCUUGGCUUCGUUGAUAGAUAUUUGUGAGGCCUCCUGCGGAUAAGUGAAAAACUUGAGGCUAAUGUGAAUGUUUUGCUUUAUACAUAUGGAAACAACAGUUAAUGGGAAAUGGUCUUGCACUUUUGUGACUCCUGCGUGUUUUCUAUGUGUUUAAUUACCUUCACUUAUGUUACUCUGCUUUAUUUUAAAUCAAUUUCUGAUUUAAAAAUUAGUAGCUAAUGUGAAUGUUUUGUCUUAAUUUGAGAUAUUGUAGCUGCUUCACUGAUUAAGAAUGAUUUUUGAAGUGCGUUUUCAAAGUCCACUGUUUUGAAGAUUUUUGAGCUAUUCUGAUGAGAUACCAUUUAAAGUUGGUGCUCCUGGUGCUUUCUCAGACCCAACAUCAGGUAAAUAAUUUGUGCUGCAUAUUUGGUAAGUGUUUAUGACUACAACUGAUGCUAACCUCUCCACCUAGACUAGUUUCUCACCAUGGUAUCGCUGGAACAUGUCAUCUGCCUUGUUUUCCAUAGUUAAUUUAUUUUGUCAACCUCCUGUUAUGUAUGGAUCUUAAAUGUCUAUUUGAGAUCUCUUUUCUUUGUACCAAGUACUCAGUGCAUCAUUAUCUCGAACCAUACAUGUUAUAUUAUGAUCUUGUCUUCACAUUUGGAUAUCCUUAUUUUUUCUGUUGUUCAGUUCGAUUCCUGUACUAGUGCAAUCGAUCAAAGCAUAAUUUUCUUUCAGAAACAACAACUUGAUAUAUGGAACCUAGUUAUGUGUGCAACUCUGAGGAACCUUGUGUCCGUCUAAUGAUUAAUUAUUCAAACACAGACAAUUUGCAGAGAACAAUCCUGAUUUGAUUUUUGUUGAUUCUCUCAUCUUUUUGCUAGGUGACAAGAUGGCGCUAGAUCAAUUCAUCUCAUUGUGGAUUCAAGAAGAUACAAGUGCUCUAUCUAGCAUGCCUUUGAGUAAGAUACAAGAAGAAUUUGUGAAUCAUUUGCAUACUUGAUAUUAAUGUUCAAGUUCCCAGGCCAAUCAUUAGCUAUAAGGUAGUUGGUAUUUUCAAUUUUGAAUCGAAAUAUGCAAUGAUGAUGUAUACUUGAUAUUUGGUUCAUUUGUAUAAUAAUGUAUGAAUUUUUUGGAUGAUA
Molecule: RNA transcript, 3190 nt
Organism: Salvia miltiorrhiza (redroot sage)
Lineage: Eukaryota; Viridiplantae; Streptophyta; Magnoliopsida; Lamiales; Lamiaceae
Exons: 4
Source: RefSeq, a predicted model, not a curated record